This 468-nucleotide ribosomal RNA is filed under the name uncultured bacterium. RNAcentral's name for it is "partial 16S ribosomal RNA". It matches the Rfam family "Bacterial small subunit ribosomal RNA", at positions 28 to 507 of the family's 1533-position model. The record is from RNAcentral.
GACGAACGCUGGCUGCGUGCUUAACACAUGCAAGUCGAACGGAAAGGCCCUGCUUUUGUGGGUUGCUCGAGUGGCGAACGGGUGCGUAACACGUGAGUAACCUUCCCUUGACUUUGGGAUAACUUCAUGAAACUGGGGCUAAUACCGGAUAGGAGCUCCUGCUGCAUGGUGGGGGUUGGAAAGUUUCGGCGGUUGGGGAUGGACUCGCGGCUUAUCAGCUUGUUGGUGGGGUAGUGGCUUACCAAGGCUUUGACGGGUAGCCGGCCUGAGAGGGUGACCGGCCACAUUGGGACUGAGAUACGGCCCAGACUCCUACGGGAGGCAGCAGUGGGGAAUAUUGCACAAUGGGCGGAAGCCUGAUGCAGCAACGCCGCGUGCGGGAUGACGGCAUUCGGGUUGUAAACCGUUUUCGCCUGUGACGAAGCGUGAGUGACGGUAAUGGGUAAAGAAGCACCGACUAAAUACGUG